ACCUAGGAUCGAUCCCUCAUUCCCACAGCAGAUCGGUCUCCACCGCCAACCAAACCUUCGCACGCCCGAUCCAGCCCUACGCCCCCUCCGCGGCCGAUCCAUCCCUGUGCCGCGGCCGAUCCAUGCCCUAUGCCGCCGCCACCGAUGCCUCCUCCUCCACCUCCAUUCCCAAGCGACGGGUACCUUCUUCUGGUGGAGGCCACACCAGAUCCCAUCGUUGCCGCCCUCGCACUCGCAUCCCUCCACCGCCGCCCUCGCACAUCAAGCCACCGCAGAUCCAUCCAUUUGCCGCCGCCCUCGCACAUGGAGCCGCCGCCGAUCCCUGCGCUACCUCGACGGGAGCCAUCGAUCGUCUCACUACAACUUGAAGCUGCAACUUGGGCGGUGCCAUGGCUCCUUGUGCAGAGAAAUCAAGAGGGGGCGAGGUCAGGGAGGAGCUGCGGGAGGAGUGAAGGAAAAGAAGGCGACGGAGAAGGCUCUGCUCGCCGGAGAGCUCGAUCGGCAGCGACGAACUCCGAGCCGCAUGUUCUGGCGACGGAGGGCUGGAACCGGUCCAUGGGGAGACCUGUAGGCGCGCGGCGGCGGCGGUUUGGGACGGCGGAGAAGCUGCAACUCGGACGGCGCCAUGGCUUCCUAUGCAGAGAAAACGAGACGAGGGGGAGGUCAGGGAGGAGCAGCAGGAGGAGUGAAGAAAAAAGGCGACGGAGAAGGCCUUGCUCGCCGGAGAGCUCGACUGGCACCGACGCUCGCUGUAGCGGGAGUAUGCUCGGGCGUACCGGCAUGAGAGCUGCAGUUGGUGGGAAUUGGCUGCAGGCAUAGGAACCGUGGAUUGAUCCCACGUACACAAAGCACUUCUCGGCUCUACGAAAUCCAUGGCUCAAGUGCGUGUCCCGGGGUCCGAGCCUCUAUCACUUCUUCAGUUCUGGCUUGCUUCAAGAACAAAAAAUUUCUGUGUGGAAGACCACUAGCAGAACUGAAUGUUGUAUGCACCUUCAUCUUGCAGUCCAAUUACUUGGAUUAUUUGGGACAAAUUCCUUUCUUUUUAACCGUACUACAGUUAUAUAGCAGGAUAACGAUACAUGCUUGUACUGCCUCUAUCAUAAAUUGCACAUGAGUUGAUUCCAAGUUUAGACAGCUAGCAAUCAAUUGCUCUGAAGGUAUUGCUCUUUUAUUUUAUUUCCGAUCAUGAGGAAAUGGGUUCAGAUAUGUGACUACCCUAUGUUGUACUAACUAUUCUAUGUUGUACUGACUAUUCUAUGCGACCACCAACAGCAAGGGUUCUCUCAAGUGAGAUCCCCUCCUUUCAAUUUGUUCCCCUUCAUUCCCCUAUUAGCGUGUGUCAGCUAUUUUUCUUGUAUAAACUCUAGCAGAGGGAAUAAAUCUUGGUGAUGGAUUUACCUUGACGGAAGAUGAUUUACAGAUUUUAUUUUUAAAUUAUGUGUUCCACUGAACUUCUUUCACCGCACUGUCUCCAACACUGUAGCGGCUUGCUCGAAUCGUCCACCACCGACCGCCGCUGGCGCAAGCUGAAACUCACCCGGGGGAGCACUGGCUGGCGCAACAGUGGCGGCGAGGACCAGGUCAAGGCUUCGCAAUAAGCGCCGGAUCAAGCCAUGAAACAUGUUGACGGAUUAGUUUUCCACCUCAUGUUUACUUCACCAUGUAGUUGGGUGUAACGUGAGUUCUGCUCUUCUUCUAGGCUGUUGGGAGGAGCGACCCUGCCAUCACGUGGAGAACAAGCGGCUCUUGGUGCUCGACAAGGUGCCUAAGCAAGGCAUAUUAGUGGAUGUGGCUCGACCCUGAACUUGCUUUCCCCAAAUUUGUUCAGUGAGUAGUGCUAUCAUAUUCUCCUUGCUCUUAUCAUGGAUAGAUUUGGAGUUGGGUCUUUUUAGUUCUCGCGUUCGGACCACAAUGAUUGGGGGAGUGGAGAUUGGCAUGAAUAAUUGCAAUUUUUAACACAAGAUCAGACAAUGAAGGAUUUGUUAUCAAGAUAUCAAAAGUUGCUCAUAUCAACUGGAAAUAUAGUUUUUUUUGCAUAUGAAAAUAGACUGUCAAUGUAUAUUAUUUGGCUCAAUAAAUUGCAUUGUGAAUCACUUCGAAUUGUUUGUAACAAUGAACAUUUUUUCAUACAACACCUUAAUAUGUAGCUUAUAAGGCUUUUAGUUUGUGAAUAAUUUGUUCAAAGAGUCACACUGUAUCAUCACACAAGGCAACGAUAUAUUAAGGUGAAGACUUUGUCAUCUAUACUUGUUGAUACUUUUUCAAUUAUGCUUACCUUGCAUCCUUUCUGUUAACAGUUUAGAAAUAUAGUUAUGUUCAUUGAUUUCUUAUACAGUUAUCCCACGUCAGUAUAGGUUGUGGAGGAUCGUAUAGUGUUUUCUUUAAUUGCGGAUCAGGUGUCGUUCACUUUUGCAAGGAUACGCCAGUAAGAUAUCUAGCAUUUCCUUCAUGUGGUUGCAUCAUUUUUUAAACCAUGUAAGUUUUGAGUGAAACUAUACUAUCUGUUAACACAAGGAUAAGAAAGAAUGGAAUUGCUUGUAAGCAUUCUUCUUGAGAUAGAGACUUUCUGUGUAGUUUGCUGCAAGUGUUUAAAUCUAAAUUUCAGUUUGAGAUAUACAACCGGCAAUCUAAGGUCAAUACUGCUGCUCAGACAAUCUAGAUAUGUCAACAAAAUUUCUUUGGAAACUCGUACAAAAGCUUAAGAAUAUGCCUGCUACUUGGGGAUAUUGUGGUGUUAAAUGACCUAAAUCUCUCUUCACAUAUAUCACAAUCCGAUACGGUGUUUGACAAAACCCGAAAUUUUUUGGAACAAAAAAGGUUGUGCUAGCAAGGAAAUUCACUUCAGCUCAAGACUUGAUAAGGCAUGUGGCGACCCUAGGAGGUGUUGUUGUGCUCACUCGCAUACCAUAUAUCCAGAGUUAAAGUUGUUUGCGUGUUUUCUAUGGCUAAGGUAUUUUGAAUAUAUCAGGUUGUUAAUGUUUGUUUGUAGCCUGAACCUUGCAGAUGGUCUCUAUGCUUUAGCUAUAAUUUUUUUCUCGUGCCGACAGUGGUAACACAUGAAAGAUCCAGAAAGAUUUUGAAGCGGCGUAGAUCGAGCCGGUUCAUACUAUUGCCUUCCAAGGCCUUGAAGGAGAUCAUAUAUGUUUGGCUACUGACAUGACAAGAAUUUCAGCAAAAAGUUGUGGAUUUCACAGGAAAACAGAGCAGGUCAUGGUGGAUGAAGAGAACAUUAACCGACAGACUUUCGUUGUCGAUUAAAGGAAAACUUGAUCAAUUUCAUGGGAAGUAAAGCAGGGACUACACGAGAAUUCGAGCACAGGCACUUAAAAGCAUAAGAGGGCUCCUGCAGUGACACUACUAUUUUUGCAGGUGAAACAACAACCAAGUUUCCAAGUCAUCUUUCAUGUUACUGCUUUAAAUACCUAAAUUAUGGUUUCACCUUCCCUUUUUGUUGUCAUUCAUGCGAGCUGCGUUUUUGCUGCUUGGAUCUCCAGGUUGUGGGAAAACACUAAUGAUAAUUUAUUUUGACAUUUCCAUAUUCUUUCUACCUAAUUUUUGUUCUGUAUAAACUGUGCAAUGUUUCCUUUUCUAGAACUUUAGGUGCCUGAUCAAUUGAACAAGUAUAUUGGGGAGAGUGAACCAGGAGUAAGGAAAAUAUGAACCCGUGCAAGCACUAACUCACCAUACAUCCUUUUUUUGGAGAGAUGAGGGAUUCUCCGGUGGCAACCAAGAGGAAGGAUGGCACCGAUGGAGCACGACGGCUGCGGCUCCGAGCAGGGCAAGUACCUUAUCUGCGAUCUUGGAUUGGGCUGUGUGAGGAGCAACGGGUCAUGGUGAUUUUGGUGACGGAGGGAGAUCCGUGCUGCCAGCGCCGCCAUGGCCCUGAAUGCCCGCAAGUAGUCCGUCGAUCUGGUACUACACGACCUCUGCUCUCUUCUUGUCCCUCUAGGUUUGGGUGCAAGGAUAGCCCAGGGGUGGUGGUUCUUGGGGAAAUUCAAAGCUUGGGCCUUUACGGAGUAGGACUGAUCUACAUCUUUAGGAGUUGUUGCUUUAGAUUGGUUUCAUGUACAGGUUGCUAUGUGAGGAUUUUUUGUGUACUGUUCAAAUCUCAAAAAAAAAAAUAUGGCCCAUUCUGACCAUAACUAUUCCAAAAACAUUUAUAGGCUUGUUUGAAAAUCAAGAUUACUGAAUAUGGAUCUCA
Molecule: long non-coding RNA, 4201 nt
Organism: Triticum dicoccoides
Lineage: Eukaryota; Viridiplantae; Streptophyta; Magnoliopsida; Poales; Poaceae
Exons: 6
Source: RefSeq, a predicted model, not a curated record